Molecule: small nuclear RNA, 107 nt
Organism: Tursiops truncatus (common bottlenose dolphin)
Lineage: Eukaryota; Metazoa; Chordata; Mammalia; Artiodactyla; Delphinidae
Source: Ensembl
AUGCUUGCUUCAGCAGCACAUAUACUAAAACUGGAACAACACAGAAAAGAUUAGUGUGGCUUUUGCGCAAGGAUGACAUGCAAAUUCAUGAAGCAUUCUAUAUUGAA